UCGACAACGAUUUACAGCAAAGCGAACUGGUAACAGCACAGCAACAGGGUUCCUCGCCUACUCUGACGCUGAUCACCUCAAAGAUGAGUGCAGCCCCCAUCGUCCACACACUGAGCACAGUUAAUGCUUAAUUUUAAACUGAAAAUAGAGAAAGCAUUGCAA
Molecule: long non-coding RNA, 162 nt
Organism: Drosophila innubila
Lineage: Eukaryota; Metazoa; Arthropoda; Insecta; Diptera; Drosophilidae
Exons: 3
Source: RefSeq, a predicted model, not a curated record